Long non-coding RNA from Trifolium pratense (red clover), 318 nucleotides. RefSeq lists it as uncharacterized. Lineage: Eukaryota; Viridiplantae; Streptophyta; Magnoliopsida; Fabales; Fabaceae. The transcript has 2 exons. The record is from RefSeq and is a predicted model, not a curated record.
AAAUAUGAAAGAGUUGCUUCUCUACUUGAUGAGGAGAGGAAGAGUAUGCUACUUCUAGUUGAUGAGAAGGUCAAGCCUAUGUUGUUUCAAGUUGGCAAAUGGAUAUGCAAACUGAAGUAUGACAAUGUGCAAAGGCUACUUGAACAAGUUUUGAUGCGGAUGAGAAACAAGUUUUAUUGGGACCCUUGCAUUUUAUCAUAUGUAAAUGUAUUUUAGUGACAAUAUUUGUAGAGUUCAUUAUUUACUUGAGCUGAAAAUAGUUGUACAUUAACGUGAUUUUGUAACAUUUGAAUGAAAUAAUUUAUGUGUCUUGGUUUA